RNAcentral lists this unclassified non-coding RNA (263 nucleotides) under plant metagenome. RNAcentral describes it as "partial contains small subunit ribosomal RNA, internal transcribed spacer 1, and 5.8S ribosomal RNA". The record is from RNAcentral.
UUUCCGUAGGUGAACCUGCGGAAGGAUCAUUAUAGUAUAGCCGAGGUGCGAGGGCUGUCGCUGACCCGAAAGGUCGUGCACGCCCGAGUGCCCUCACACACAUCCAUCUCACCCCUAUGUGCACCACCGCGUGGGUCCCCCUUUGGCUUGUUCGGAGGGGGGCUUACGUUUUCACACAAACUUUGUAUGCAGUGUAGAAUGUAUUUUUUGUUUUUGCGAUCACGCAAUCAAUACAACUUUCAACAACGGAUCUCUUGGCUCUC